GAGGGCAUCCCAGAAGUGGGGCAUAAUAGGGUGGGGGUCAGGGUGGGGGUGGGGAGGGCACUGUGGGGACAUCCCUGAUGGCACUUUGUGAGCAGACCCCAUGGCGCUUUGGGGACAUCUGAUGGCACUUUGGGGACAUCCCUGGCGACAUUUUUGGGGACAUCCCUGAUGACAUUUUUGGGGACAUCCCUGAUGGCAUUUUGGGGACAUCCCUGAUGGCACUUUGGGGACAUCCCUGAUGGCAUUUUGGGGACAUCCCUGACGACAUUUUGGGGUCUGGGGGCCCCUCGGACCCCUGUGACGGCACAUCAGGAGCUGCCGUGCCGAUGGCACUUUGGGGACGGCCCCGAUGGCCCUUCGUGUCCCCGUCCCCCCCCCCAUUUGUCCCCCCCUCACGUGGCACGGGGGGCUCAGGGGGCGUCGCCUCCUCCUCCUCCUCCUCCUUCUUCUGCCUCCCCACCACGCGUUGCACCAGGGCCAGCAGCCGCUGCCGCAGCGACGCGUCUUCCUCCUCCUCCUCCUCCUCACCCUGCAGCUCGAUGCCUGCGGGACAGGGGUCACGGGGUCACCACAGGGGUCACGGGGUCACCACAGGGGUCAUGGGGUUAUCACAGGGGUCAUGGGGUUAUCAUGGGGCACUGGGGGUCAUGGGGUCACCAGGGGGCACCACAGGGGUCAUUGGGUCACCACGGGGGUCACGGGGGUCACCAUNNNNNNNNNNNNNNNNNNNNNNNNNNNNNNNNNNNNNNNNNNNNNNNNNNNNCACGGGGUCACCACGGGGCACCGGGGGGUCAUGGGGUCACCACAGGGGUCACGGGGUUACCAUGGGGCACUGGGGGUCACAGGGUCACCAGGGGGCACCGGGGGUCAUGGGGUCACAAGGGGGUACCACAGGGUACCAGGGGACACAGGAGGUCAUGGGGUCACAAGGUCACCAGAGGGGUCACAGGGUCACCACAGAGCACUGGGGGUCCCCACAUCCCCCACCAGGGGUCUCCAUGCUGGGGGUCCCCAUGUCUCCAUGUCCCCAUGUCCCCACGCCGGGGGUCCCGAUGUCCCCAUGUCCCCACGCCAGGGGUCUCCAUGCCAGGGGUCCCCAUGUCCCCAUGCCGGGGGUCCCAAUGUCCCCAUGUCCCCAUGCUGGGGGUCCCGAUGUCCCCAUGUCCCCACCCCAGGGGUCUCCAUGCCAGGGGUCCUGAUGUCCCCACAUCCCCACCCCAGGGGUCUCCAUGCCAGGGGUCCCCAUGUCCCCAUGCCGGGGGUCCCAAUGUCCCCACAUCCCCAUGCUGGUGGUCCCCUUGUCCCCAUGUCCCCAUGCCGGGGUUCCCGAUGCCCCCACAUCCCCACGCCAGGGGUCUCCAUGCCGGGGGUCCCGAUGUCCCUAAGUCCCCACACCAGGGGUCCUGAUGUCCCCUUGUCCCCACAUCCCCACCCCAGGGGUCUCCAUGCCAGGGGUCCCCAUGCCGGGGGUCCUGAUGUCCCCAUGUCCCCACCCCAGGGGUCUCCA
RNAcentral lists this long non-coding RNA (1507 nucleotides) under Phasianus colchicus (ring-necked pheasant). Its description in RNAcentral is "lncRNA (ENSPCLG00000017527.1)". The record is from RNAcentral. Lineage: Eukaryota; Metazoa; Chordata; Aves; Galliformes; Phasianidae.